This is a non-coding RNA of Zonotrichia albicollis (white-throated sparrow), 4547 nucleotides long. The record is from RefSeq and is a predicted model, not a curated record. NCBI's taxonomy places the organism in Eukaryota, Metazoa, Chordata, Aves, Passeriformes, Passerellidae.
CAUUGUCUCAGCUCGUUCAGCAGAGAGGAGGGCUUGGCUGUGGCAACACGCUUCCUCUUCCCAGUGUGGGAGCUGAGGGAGCCUUUCUGCGACGGAUUCGGCACGGACUGACCCGGGUGACUUCACCCACCCGCCCGUGGGGUCCAUCCCGGCGUGGCACAGGAGAGCACAGAAAAACGCCGUGGCUUUGCUGUCACAUAAACCUGCACGUGGGAUUAUUAACUCCACUCCAAAUCGGGGUUACAGUGGCCAGACUGUUUGGCAGAGAGAAACUGGCUGGCGGGUUCCCGUCUCUGUGCCCUAAUCUUACCUACUCAAACCUAACUUUGCCAAGCAAGGGUUAUUUCACUGAGUGAUGGGAUCAUGUCAAGCUUAUUUCUGUAAGGCGAACGUGGCGUUGCCUUGUACAAUACAAACAGGGCAUGAAUUAGGAGAAUAUUAUUAUUAUUAGAAUUCUAUUUAUGCUAUUUUUCUAAUCUAAUAUCUUGUUUACAGGGGGAUUUUGAACAGUUCCAGCCCUCAACAAAAGCGAUUAGUAGAGGCACACCAAGGCCAUGCACGGGUUUAGACAAAUAAACCAUACUCAGUGUCAACAUCUUUUGUGAUAGGACUGAUGCAGACAGGAUCUGCUGGCAGCUAUGCCAUGGUUUGUAAGUCAUCUCCCAAGCUGAACGUGUCACCUCUGCCAGGUAACCACCUCCAGCACAGGGAAGUGUCAGCGUCAUGGCUUGGCUGCAUGUCAGGCUCAAUCUGACUGUUCAUGGCUCUCUCCCUUUACCAGCUGUUCCCUGGUGCCAGCAGUGAGCCAAGGAUUAGGUGGUAACAGUUUUGUAAACUGCCAUGGCAAGACUUGCCCCUCAGCUUCUGUAGUUCCAGUAAAGAAUAAGCUCUUCUGAUACAAAUUGCAGAUUUUGUUCUCCAACAGGGGUUUGGUUGUGCUAGGGCAGGUGAGGCUGGGCCAGAAGACUUUUGCAGACAGCUGCUCAGCUUUUCUAAAAAAGGAGGGCAGAGCUUGAUGCUGGAAAGGAGAGCUCCUGAAAUGCAGAGCCAAGCUAGUUCCCUGAGAAAUACUGCCCUUAAUUUCAGUGAGGUAUCACUGUUAAUAUGUUGGUAUAAUCUGUCAUCUGAUUUUGCAGUGUCACUGGUAAUAAAGUUUCAUAUUGCCUAUGUUAUCUGUUAAUUCAAAAGGAGCAAAGUUUGAGGACGCUGCUGAAGAGCCCAGACCUGCACACAGCUGCAUUUCAACAGCUGAAGUUCCAGCACUGUCCUGGCUUUAUAUUGAGGUUGUAGAAAUGUUCUGGAACAUGUGAUGUGUACACUAUGACUGGAAGGCUGGCUGCUUUGUGGUUCUGGCAAAAAACUGGGCUGACUCCUGUAAAAACAGUGCACUGACACCUUCAAAGGUACACAUAGAGGUGUUGCAUCUUGUCUCCAUCUCCUCUCAUUCCCUCUGCUCCUCUUUGACUCUUUCUUCUGCCUUCUCCCAAGCCACUGUCGUUUUCAUUUCCUUCCCUGCUGCCUUGGACAUUUGAUCUAGACUCACAAAUGUGUCAGAGUUCUUCUCCUUACACUUUUCAAAGCCUGUUUUUCCACCUUUGUUCUGUAGACACAGAUCUGAAACCAGUGUAACUUCCUGUUGCUGGAGCAUCAAAGAUAAACAAAUUCAAGAUACAGUAAAAAAAAUAAAUACUGUUCAGACUUGUUUACUUUGAAUGAAAACAAGAACAUUCAUAUCAUGAAGCUUGACUGAGUGGAACCAGGGUAAGAAUGCCCCAACCAUCAUGACAGUGGUGAUGAAACUGGAAGAUUUUUUACUGGAAGUCAGUGUUUAUUAAGGAGAGCACUAAAUUACUCAGCACAGGUAUUGUUAGAGCAGUCCUGACCAAUAACAUAUUUUUAGUACCAGUGACUCUUGUUGAACUCAUCUCUGUAAUUGUUUUUGAUGAUAGAAUGAAUCAGAGUGCUCUAAAAACAUGGCAAUAAAAUAAAGCCCUAAUUAUGGACCAAGGAACCAUUAAGUCUAAAUCCUAAAAAUUGGCAUUCAGUAUACAAGAUUAAGGAAGCAAAAACCAUGUUAGUUUGGUUACUCAUAUUUACAAAGUAAGGAAAACCAGAUCCUUCAAAUACCUUAAGUAGUUUUGAUUUUAAAUGUUCUUAAGACUAGAAAUAUGUCAUUGUGCACUCAGCCAGAAAUGCAUUUUAAUAAAUGAGUCAGGGUUACAAGAAGGAUGAAAGAACUUUUCUUACUGAAUGCAUCCCUGUUUUGGGGCCCAGUCAUGUAGUGUGCUUGGAAGGAGCAACAUGCUGAACAUGAACAGCCAAGGGUUGAUUAAUAAGACAUUUAACCUAUUAUUUUUUCAUGGGACAAAGAGACUUUAGUUCUGUAAGGUAUUUGUAAAAUGGGUUUUCAAAAUGAACCAGGCAAUCCCAGUCUGAUACCCAGCAGGCACCCAUUUGGUACCACAUAGGUGUUUGCAUAGCAAAUCUGUUACUCAUUACAAUUCUUGACACUCAGGAAUACAUGAGCUGUGUGGUUUGCCCUUAUUAUUUUUAGGUCAAAUUGUGCCCAUGUACAAUCUCCUGCCCACCCUUCACAAGCACUGUCUGCUUGUCUGGAGGUGGAGGAGUUUGAUGAGCAUUGAACUGUCACAUAAAGACAUACUGAAUUCUGAAAGAGACAUUGAAUAUCUGUAUAGGAUUAUGCAAAGAGGGACACAGAAACAGGGUCUGUAGUUUUCCCUGCAUUGCAAAAUUGUCCUGGGUUGUACAAAUCCAUCAAAUGAAUAGGCAGGCUCUGAAAACUUCCUUUUCCCCACCCAAGAUGAAAAAUGGAAUUGCCACUGGGAUGCCAGAGGUGAAUGAGAUUCUGUCAGGAGGUUAUAUUGAUAAAAGUAAACAUCCUGCACAAAAGCUGAGUUUCUUUUGGCUGCUUUGCACAGAUGAGUUCUUAUUGCAAGCCUGCACAAUAACCAGUCCCCUGAUUGGUUAAACAGAUAACAGAGCAGCAGUUCCUCAGUUGCCAACGUGGAUGUAUUAGUGACAAGACACGGCUCAUGCUCCCAGCUGCUCACUUUUUGGAGCUGGCAGUGUGAUGGGCUGGCUUCAGGGGCAGAGAGCAGGACACCAUGGCUCAGGGAGCCAGUUAAAUGCAGUGGGGAGGGAGCAGAGCAGCACAGCCUUAAUGGGGCACAGGAAAUGGGUUUGGCACGUGAAACUCCGAACCCACUCUCAAUCUAAACUGGAGAGUAAAUCAAGCAUGUGGGGUAAAUAAAGGGGAGAAAAGUACUCUUCUGCUUUCUUUUGACUUCAGAACAAACAGAAUAUGAGGAUUUAGCCUUCUUGUCUUAGGGAUGUGCAUGAUAAUGGAGGAAGGUGGUGGUUUGAGAAAGGUUUGAUUUAGAAGCUUUAGUGGUAAAGCUCUUUCCUGUUUUUGGAUUUAGGGAAUACAGGGUUUGGGCUUUGUUAGCAUGUUCAAGGACAUAUGGCAGCAGAACUACCCUGUGAAAAGUUUAUGCUUUGUGUCCUGCAGACAGCAUGGAUAUAGCUUUUUUUUUUUCCUUGCUGCAAACUGACCCAGAUUUCUGCUUUUAUUUGACAGUCUUUUUGAGCAUAGUGUGAAGGAGAGGCAUUGCUUCUGGAAAUGCAUGUCAAUAGUCUUGUGAAAUGAGCGUCUCUCCCUCCCUCAGCCUUCCCCCAAUCUAAUUAAUAAGGUCAUCCCACUGAAGGCAGGCUUAUAAAUAGCUUUCCAAGCACUAAUGGAAUUAGUUCUGGCCUGGACAACUUUUCCAGGGUGACACAGGUAUCGAAGAAAAGCUUGCUCCUUGACAUAGACAACCACUUACAGCAGGAAAUGCUGAAAUGUAAACAUUUACCUGAUGUCCCAGCUCUUGCUGCCAGCACUAAACCUGAAAUGGGAUUACAGCAUUGCUACUCACAUUGUAGAAAGACUUGCAAGUGAAACAAGGGAUUUUAGAGGGAUGGGCCUUGUAUUAGAUUACAUUAUUCUGGAUAAUGAAAUGUCAAAUUCUGCUGAAGGUUUCUCUUUUGUCACUAUUUCUGAGGAAAGUGUAUUUUUCAUGUCCCACAAACCCACAAGAUUUUGUGAGGAUAAUAAACAGUUACCAUGGGGAAUAAAAUCGAAGUACUUCCAGUCGAUAGGAAUCUUUACUGUGACAGCAUUUAAUGGGAAGGGAAUAGCACAGCUAUAAACUCUCAAAAGAGAGUCAUGAUUGAAAAUUGACUAUUUAAAUCAUCAGUGAGUGGAGCCACAGAACCCCUUCAAAACCAAUGGCUGAAUUAUUAACAUUUAAAAUCUGGUGUGAGACUGGAGUUUUAUAACGAAAAUAAAACCUAAAUGCAUCACAGAAAAUGUAAGCUCUGAUUGUUUAAAAAACUUGAACCAAGAUGUAAAGAGAAUGUAUCUGAUUCAGGAACUUCAAAUCAAUAAGCAUGAAGCUCCCAAAAACAUGUGACAAACAUGAAAUUAUAAUAUGAUUAUCUAUGUGACUAAUGAAAUUUAAUUACAGUUAAAUAAUGGAGAAACAUUA